ACUUUGGUUUGCAUCCUUGAUAGAUGCCUGCACUCAAAUGUAAAAUAUGCAAACAUUCAAGCGAACGUAACUUUUACAUGCACAACUGUAUUUUUCCUCAUCUCAUCCAAAACUAGGAACAUUGGCAUAGGAAGACAGAAACCUCAGCUUUCAGAAUCCAAUAUACGAGGUGAAGAAGCAGUCAACACAACAAAGAAGAAAGGAGGAAAGCAAGUAGAGGAACAAGGAGGCAAAGGUCUUGCUUGACUCAUCUCUGCUGUGGUGACCUUGGAGGCUUCAUAUUCCAGAUUGCACAGCCAUAAGAUGAAAGAAGACUUCUCACUCACAUUAGACUCUGAGGUGAGAGAGAAAAAAUAUAUUUUUCUACCAAGACAGUAAGAUUUUAAAGUUUAUUUCUUAUUGCAGAAUAGCUUAUUCUAUCCUUGCUAACUUAAAGUUAAGUGAUGCCUUACUUUUAUCCUUCAUAUGGUGUUGGUGUAGCAGUUGGCUAAAGCACUGGAGAAACCAAUUAGAAUCUCAAAAAUUGGCAACCCAUAUUAGAUCCAGGCCAAAGAGUAAUAUUGUGGCCUGAUAUAAUGGGGCGGCAGGCUGUUUGUGUGUUGACUACUGUUGGUUGUGUUUGGCAGAUUAAUAAUAUAGAAACAUAAUUAGGAAACAACCAAGUCAUAAACAAAAAUGGAAAGACACAGAAUCCCUCAAUUUAGAGGUUUGAUCAAUUGGAAAAUGUUUCCAGGUAUGGGAUAAAACAUUUGAGCAAUAAAGUCCCAAUAAACUUAAUUAAUGCAGAACAAGAACCCAAUUAAGGGCACAGUCUUUUCUUUCAAGCCUGAUAGCCUUAAUGUAGCUAUCAUGAAAGAGGUGGGGGGUAUGAGGGUAAGAAAGCAAAAAUUAAUAAAUAAUAAGAAAGACAGAUCUGAAACCAGUUGUCUCAAAAAGAACUUCUUUGGAAAGGGUUAUUGACACAUGGAACUGACUGGAAGAAAAAUAGAUUAGAACCUGAGAUGUGCUAUCAAUAAAAUAUCUUCGAGGAUUUAAGACCUAAAAUAAUGCCCUUGGACUUUCGAUCACUCUCAAGCUGAAAUUCAACUUAGAAAGCUGUGCAUCCACCAAAAAGAGGAUAUUCACUAACUCUCACUUUUAAAAUAGUGAUAAUAGAAAGGGAAGAAACUUUUGGGAAGAGAAUCCAGGAGCUAAAGAAAAAUGUGAAUUUAAGAGUUCCUAGCAGAAAGCAGAAUUAUGAACCAAUGAACACAAAUUUCUCGAAUUCCCUGGGUAGGGGCCUUCACAGUGUUUGCUAUAUAUCUCCCGUUGUCGUAUUUCCUGGAAAAUAGUUUUAUUAUGGUUGCAAACUUGUGCUAUCAUUUUUUUAUUUUGAAUGCCUUUAGAAGAACACCUAACUUGUGUUGUUAAUUCAUAAGGCACCACAUCAGUAGGAAACACAUUUGGACUUGAUGGAGAGAACCAUGUGGAUAAGCUCUCCUUGAUUUUUUUCCUAGGGAAAUGGAGGAAAACAGACAUUGGGAGGCAACUAGUUGUGUCAACCCUUUGUGUGACAACAAUAAAUUUGUCACAGAAAGUAAUACCCAAGGAAGUCAUCCACUUUUGGCCAUUUUAUACUGAAAUUUAUUUUUAAAAAAGGGUAACAAGAGGGUUGGAUCCAUAUUCUACCCAUUUAGAUGGGAAAUAUUUAUCAGUUUCUACUUCUUAUAUGCUGCUUUUAUUGUUUUGUUUUGUUUUUGAAUGGCGGUAGUAUGUGGACAUAUGGGAAACUCUAAAAUAGUGCAUCUAGGGUUACAUUUUUCUCUUUCAGCUACCUUUAGUUUAUAUAUAAUCAUUAUCCAUCUUCUGGUAACAGACCUCUCCUCAAUGGCCAUAUUUGUGGGCAUAUGGCACAAAGUCAAAUAUAUUACUUUAGCUUUCUUCAUCAUAAUGACUAUCUCAGGAACUGAGCACAUGGGUCCCAAUAAUUGCAUUUUACAUGACACUAGCCAGUGGUCAUGAGACUGUAAGAAAGUAAAUCCAGAUCUUUAGGUGCUAGUAUUACCCUGCUUUGUGGAUAAACUGGAUUUGAUAUAAUGAUGUUAAUACAUGAAGAAGAACCAGAUUUUUUAAGAGGCAGAAGGAGGAAAUUCUCCAUUUAUUUAAGUUUCUAUGAUUUACUGGGGCUAAUACACACUUGCUCUUUCUAGUGAUAAAUUUGUGUAUUAAUGGAAGCAAUAUUCCUCUUUUAAUUUACCUUAGUUUGACUUGGAUUUUGACACUGUCAUUCAAAAUUACUUCUAAUUAAUUUACUUAUAGCUGUAUUACUAAAUGGUAAAUGGUCACAACAUUUUCCUGUGUAUUUUUCCAGAAAAUUUCCAUCCAUGUAUAUACUUGUCUAUCUAGAUAUAACAUGUAGUGUAUUGAGUAUUUUUGUGCAACUUAAUUUUUACUUAAUAGAAAAUUGUCUAUUACACUUUGUUUAUAUAUCCUAUAAUUUAUUUCAUGUGGUUCCAGCCCAGUUCGGUUUACUGUAGUGGAAAAAAAAUAUUAAAAAACCCACUCCUUUCAAUAAACUUAGAUUAUCAGACCUAGGAAAAUAUUAUUUCAGCGUGGCCCAGAAUGAUCCUCACCAAGGGGAAUUGCAUUUAGAAUGGCCUUUGCAAAGGCUCUAGGUUGAAUAUGCUUAGUGUACUGGAGUAAAGCUGAUGCUAUGAUGGAAAGUGAUGAGUUGAAGUCACAGAGGUUUUGGAAGUUCCUAUGGGUUAUGGGAAUUCCUGAAGCACUUUUAGUAGAGGACAGAAAAGAUCUAAUUUAAGUGUUAAAAACAAUACCUGGGCAUCUGUAAAGAAAAUUGAUCAGAGAACCACAUGCAAUACAGAAACCAAUUGGGAAGUAAUUGCCAUAGAAAAGGCAAGAGAUGAUGGUGACAGUGUUGAAAAGAGAUUUAAUUCUGGAAAUGUUUUAAAGGAAGUUGUGGGAAGAUUUGGAUGGAUUGACUGGAGGUUAAGAUAAAAAGAGAAGAGUCUGACUUCUAAGAUAAUAACCCAAAGAUGAGAAGAAUGGAGCUGCCAUUUAUUGAAUAGGAAAAGAUGGGGAGAGGAGAUAAAUUUGUGCAAGCAGUGAGUGGCAAUCAAAACGCUAAUUUUGGAAAUAUUAAUUUUGAGAUGUUGAGAGUAUAUGAGCCUGGAGUAUAGGGGAUUUGAACUGGAGAAAUCAAUUUAAGAAUUGUAAGAUAAGAUUCUCUAGGCAAUAAGCAGAGAUAAAAAAGGAAGUUGUCCAAAGAUUGAAUUCAGAGAAACAUCAAUAUUAGAAGUUAGUUAAAAAGUAGACAAAGAAGUAGAAUCCAUUUAGAUGGGGUAGAAACCUGGCAAAAUAAGGUAAGCAAGUGUUCAAAAAGAAGGAAGUGAUAAAAAAAUCAAAUGCCAUUGCUAAGUUGAAUAAAAUCCAGACAGAGAAUUGACCAUGUAUUGGUAAAAGUGAAGCCCAUGGGUGAUCUUGUCAUGUGGAGUUUCAGUGAAAAGGUGAAGACAAGUCUGACUGGAAUGAAUUCAGGAGGGCAAAGGAUGAAAAUAAGUGGAGGCACAAAGUAUUGACAAAUAUUUUCAGUGUUUCCCUUUAAAAAAAAAAGUGAAAAAAAAAAAA
Homo sapiens (human) is the source of this 3624-nucleotide long non-coding RNA. RefSeq lists it as uncharacterized. Lineage: Eukaryota; Metazoa; Chordata; Mammalia; Primates; Hominidae. The transcript has 3 exons. The record is from RefSeq and is a predicted model, not a curated record.